ACCCCUAAAGUACCUUAUAUUUCAUUAAUUCUUGUACUGCAUACCGCGUACCCAAUACCCAUACCAUGACUUAGGAAUACAGCGUAUUAGGUAACUAAGGUUCACCCAUGACAACCAACUCUGAUAUCAAGUUAUGUGCACUUGAAUAGGAUCUCAUCACAGGACAAUGACCUAGAAAUCUACCUCAAGUACUUGGACUUUCCCUGAUUCACGUUCCUGCUUUCUUAAAGAAACCUAUUGUGAAG
Molecule: unclassified non-coding RNA, 245 nt
Filed under: Hevea brasiliensis (rubber tree)
Lineage: Eukaryota; Viridiplantae; Streptophyta; Magnoliopsida; Malpighiales; Euphorbiaceae
Source: RNAcentral